This 51-nucleotide small RNA is filed under the name Caenorhabditis elegans. RNAcentral describes it as "Unclassified non-coding RNA Y49G5B.3". The record is from RNAcentral. Lineage: Eukaryota; Metazoa; Nematoda; Chromadorea; Rhabditida; Rhabditidae.
GCUCAUUUGUGGUGAUUUUUUGUAGUGUUUCAAGUAUGAUAAAUGUGACGU